UACAGAGGGUGCAAGCGUUAAUCGGAAUUACUGGGCGUAAAGCGCACGUAGGUGGACUAUUAAGUUGGCUGUGAAAGCCCCGGGCUCAACCUGGGAGGGUCAGCCAAUACUGAUAGACUAGAGUACUUUAGAGGGUAGUGGAAUUUCUGGUGUAGCGGUGAAAUGCGUAGAGAUCAGAAAGAACACCUGUGGCGAAGGCGGCUACCUGGAAAGAUACUGACACUGAGGUGCGAAAGCGUGGGGAGCAAACAGG
RNAcentral lists this ribosomal RNA (253 nucleotides) under uncultured bacterium. RNAcentral's name for it is "partial 16S ribosomal RNA". It matches the Rfam family "Bacterial small subunit ribosomal RNA", at positions 524 to 776 of the family's 1533-position model. The record is from RNAcentral.